Molecule: non-coding RNA, 4152 nt
Organism: Phoenix dactylifera (date palm)
Lineage: Eukaryota; Viridiplantae; Streptophyta; Magnoliopsida; Arecales; Arecaceae
Source: RefSeq, a predicted model, not a curated record
UUACAUAAUCUCUAAAAUUAUUCUGACAUUCCAAGGUCAAUAUGGUAGGUCUCGCCUGAACACGAGGUGGCCAAUAUUUUUUUCAAUCAACUUUCUACUCCUCAAUUUUUUUUUUUUUCCCUAAAACACCAUUAUUAUUUUAAUAGCCUUUUAAGAAGUGGCAUUUGCUAUUUUGCUUCCAGCUCGGCGGAUUCGGGACCCGUACCUAUGGCCUAUGGGCCAACGUGAGAACUACCAGCGGUGCGGCCCGGUCUGUUUCAGCGGAGAGGCGUCCCUCGCUGACGGCCAAAUUGAAAUCCACGCUGCCCGGGAACCGCCGUCGCGCUUGUUUGUACUCGGGUUCAACAUUCCCGGACCCGAGACCCGGUGAACCAAACCCCGUAUUACAACAUCGUCUGGCUCUGGCUCUCAUGGUCUUAUUACCGUUAACCCGAAAACAAUUCCGCCGCGGUACCCCCAGCUCCCUUCCACUCCGUCGCAUCUCUCGUCGCCGUCCAUCCAGGAAACCCUUCCAAGAAGAGGCGGGAGGAAUGGUGACGGCGUUCGAGACCCACGCGCUUCAAUUGGAGCGGCGGCAUCCUUCGGCGUUUCAUCGGAUCCUUCUCCUCCUGCUAUUCUUCUCCCUCUUGCUUGCGGUUCACCUUCCCGUUCGGUCCUCCAUGAUGCACAACAAGAACUGGGCCGUCUUGGUUUGCACCUCCCGUUUCUGUUUCAGUCUCCUGGUGUUUUGACAAUUGGAAGUAGCAAGAAAGGGGAAAAAUCCUACUCUCACCAUCUUGACUCAGAUAUUGGUUCACUUUCUACACACUCGCCUUUUUUGAGAAGUUGAACAUGUACAGCAAUGCCUCAUUGAACAGAUUACAUAAUCCCAUUAUAUUAUCUUUGAGGGCUUGGCUCAAAAAGUUGCUGUCAUUUUUCGGCACACCUGGACAAACUUGACUUCCCCAGGGAGCCCGAUAGGUGCAAGUGUUUACUACCAACAGUUUUCAAGGAUACCUCAAAUUGACCAUCUUUCUUUUUUGGUGGUUGUAACAGUCCUGAUUAUGGUUGGAUUGUCUAUAUUUGAAGACUCUACAUAAGCUUGUUUUAGCACUGAUACUUAAUCUCGAGGCCUUGAUGCAACCAACUGGCAUUUGGCUUUAUCAUUCGCUACCUUUCUUUUUAAUUCAUACGAUCCAAGUGUGCUGAUGUCAACUGCAUAUUACCAUAUGGAUCUUUGUCAAUGAUCCCUGUGUGAGGUGCCUGUAACAAAUUUAUUUGGGUCAGUCAUGAAAACAAUUCACACAGACUCAGCAUACACUGGCAUCUCAGCUGAACCUAAAAUUGAAGCACCAUAUGUCUUGGAAGAUAACAAGGCUGACCGAAUAAUGUUAGAAAGUGAUGCUGACCGGUACAAAACAUAUGAUCAGGACAAGAAGGAGGGGAACUGUAGUUUCCAUACAUGGUUGAAACAUUUACAAGAAAGACUGGAAGAUGAGAAUGCUGACACUCUAGUGAAAUAUGGCUUUGGAACCAUGAUCCUAUCACUAGCAGUUUCCACUUGGCUAUCGACAUAGGCAUUCCAAAUGACAUGCAUGGGUCAUCAUCUUCUGUGCCAUAGCUGUACAUGAUGAUGAUAUUCAGGGUUUGGCAUCCCGUCCAUUCCAUGAUAUUUCAGAGGGUUUAUUGAGAAAAAAACAUUUUUCUUUUUUAAUCUUAUGGAACAUAUAUGUCUUCAACUGUCUGGAAUAUUUAUGGUUCUUCUCUCUUGAUGUUUAUCUCGAGAUAAGGAGAAAACCGUCAAAAUGUAGCAUGCCAAUCAGUUCACAUGAAUUCGGAUAAGAUAUUUAUGACUGGAAUUAGCUGACUCAGGUCAGAGGUCUUGAAGACAACCUACAUUUGAGCUCUCUACAUACGUGACAGAUGCUUAAAGAGUCUAUUCUCUCAGAUUAGAUGAAGUUGACUCCUCCAUGGUUGGCAAAUUCCAAUCUUCUUGGGGCCUCAUGUUGUGUUACUGAUCUGCUACGGCAUUGGGCGAAUAACAGUCCUUAUUGUGGGCCGUCCGUAGGUAUUGAGUGCCGCCAUUUUUAGUUUCAGCUUCGGAAUCGUUCUCAUCCACAAAGGAUUAUUGAUAUUUAGAGGCAUGUUUAUGGCAUGAAAAUAAUUAAAAAAGAAGAAGAAGAAAGUUAAUGGAAGAGUUUGGCAAUCCAGAAGCUAUGAUACCUGAUCUCUUUAAUGAAGACCGGCUCGUUCCUUUUCUUCCAUAAGGUAUCAUUCAUGCUGCACUUUUGGUCCAUCCACCAUCCACCGGGUAUGUCAUCUUGUUCGAAUUUUAAGUUACUUUUGAGAACGUUCGUUGAGUAUUAUAAUGACUUCCGCCGUGGAGGUCACCAUCUGACUACCGAACUUAUCAGGAUGGUAGCUUCGAAUUUCUGUGAAUCCUGUUCUUUGCAUGCACGGUGCCUCAUUUCUAGUAUUACAAUUUACAAGCCGCACACGUUGGCCAGAUGCAGUUCUGGUUUCUGCAGUCUGAUGGCUGCUACCUAUAUUCGUCCUCCUAGCCAAAUUGCUGAAUGGAGGACCCAUGUCUUUGGGACCCGUUAGCGAAAAAAAAAUUCAGGCUUAAUUGUGGGCAAACUGCAUUAGCAUUUAAAGGAUAUGGUUUGGUUGGAGUGCACUAAGAGGGGCCUAACAAUUUUGAGAAAGGUGAGACCCAUGGCUUUUGAUGCACGAGACGUCUGCAAUCUGGCUGAUAGAUCUCUGUUCUCUCAUCUUGCUCUGUUUCCUGAUUGAUCUUAUGUUAGUAUAUCAUUGAUUAUUCUACUCUUAUUAUUUGAUAAUAAGAACUAUAAGGGUCAUUGCUUAAUUUCAAGCGCACAAAUUUAGUAAACGGUUAGCAUCAACUGACCUGUGCAAUACUUGGGGGAUAAGAUCAAUGUAAGCUCAUCCGUUGGAGACGCAAAGAGCAAAAAGGGCGGUAGCAUGGUGCAUUUAAACAACUAUAAGAGUGGAUAUAGAACAAGGAGUAAAAAUUUAGAUAACUAUGAGGGAUGAAGUGACAUGGAUUCCAAGGAAAUCGAGAAGAGAAGUGCCCGGAUCUCUUUGCUUCAGGACGUGUGUUAGGCAUGUGUCUCAUUUUACAACUGGAAUGAAAGAAACAUUUGUUUGUUCUCUUUCUUUUUUUGUUUCCUUGUUUUGUUUUGAGAGAGAGAGAGAGAACACGGCUUAAUGAUACGUUAGAUCAUAAUCAAGUGAUUUUUUAUUGCUAGAUGUUUAAAGUGGUAUAGAUCAUAAUUAAUUGUGUGCAUCUUUGAUUUAGAUGCCUGGUUAUUAAUAUGCCCUUGGAGGGAAUAGAUACCUUCCUCUCUAUCAAUCUCUUGAAAUUUUCCUAGAUUAUAACAUUAAUGAUGGAUCUUAUUGAACAGCGCAAUCAUAUUAAGUUAUGAAUAUUCUCAUAGAAUAGUUUAAUGGCAUCCACUAUCAGUUGCCAGAAUAUCAUUGCUAUCGUCAUAGCAUGUCAACGGGCACAUCGUAAAGUAAAAUAAUUAUCAUGUCAUACCUCCUGCCAUGAUGCAAACUCUCCUUUAUGCUAAAGGAUGGAUUCCAAGUUUCCAUCAUAUCCUUAGAGAUGUUCCUUUAUUUUUCACUCUUCUGGUUGAAUUGUCUCUUUAAAGGAGAGAGCAACGAAGAUGCAUCAGCUAAAAAUUCAAGCGUUUUUAUCAGAUCACAUUCUCCUCUGAGUCAUAAGUUACGAGUAUGACCAACUCCACCUGUCUGCCAAGCUCAGACUUCCAACUUCGAAGCAUCCAUUAACUCGAGUUCCCUUCUCCUCAACGAGACAAAAAGGAUUGGGCGUCGGCCCGCGAGAGACAUUUGAGCCCAGGAGUCCACGGAGGAAUGGAUGAUCAUUCCACACUUUUAUUUAGAAAAGGGAGCUGCCUCUUUAUUCCCGUUGCUUUGUUUUUUUACUUUUUGGUAAUCAUGUUUGGUGACAAUUUGACAACACUAAUCUCUGUUAAACAUGAAGAUUUCUGUAAAUAAUGCUGAGAAUGAUGGUGAGAAUGAUAUCCUCUCCUAGUCAACCCCAGCCCCAUAUGAGCUGUUAAUGAUGGUGAUGCAUGUAGAGAGACAUCUCUUGAGUGACGUUUUUUGAAUGUGAGUUUCUAAAUGAUU